AGCAGCCGCGGUAAUUCCAGCUCCAAUAGCGUAUAUUAAAGUUGUUGCAGUUAAAAAGCUCGUAGUUGAAUUUCGGGAUCAGUUGGUCGGUCGUGCCUCGGUACGUACUGGUCAAAUUGAUUCCUACCUUCUGACGAACCACGAUGUCAUUAAUUUGGUGUCGUGGGAAAUCAGGACUGUUACUUUGAAAAAAUUAGAGUGUUUAAAGCAGGCUCGCGCUUGAAUACAUUAGCAUGGAAUAAUGAAAUAGGACGUUUGAUUCUAUUUUGUUGGUUUCUAGGAUCGACGUAAUGAUUAAUAGGGAUAGUUGGGGGCAUUAGUAUUCAAUUGUCAGAGGUGAAAUUCUUGGAUUUAUUGAAGACUAACUACUGCGAAAGCAUUUGCCAAGGAUGUUUUCAUUAAUCAAGAACGAAAGUUAGGGGAUCGAAGACGAUCAGAUACCGUCGUAGUCUUAACCAUAAACUAUGCCGACUAGGGAUCGGAUGAUGUUAAUUUUUUAAUGACUCAUUCG
Molecule: unclassified non-coding RNA, 511 nt
Filed under: uncultured Glomus
Lineage: Eukaryota; Fungi; Glomeromycota; Glomeromycetes; Glomerales; Glomeraceae
Description: SSU rRNA
Rfam family: Eukaryotic small subunit ribosomal RNA
Source: RNAcentral